Molecule: ribosomal RNA, 416 nt
Filed under: uncultured Helicobacter sp.
Lineage: Bacteria; Pseudomonadati; Campylobacterota; Epsilonproteobacteria; Campylobacterales; Helicobacteraceae
Description: bacterial SSU rRNA
Rfam family: Bacterial small subunit ribosomal RNA
Source: RNAcentral
CAGCAGUAGGGAAUAUUGCUCAAUGGGGGAAACCCUGAAGCAGCAACGCCGCGUGGAGGAUGAAGGUUUUCGGAUUGUAAACUCCUUUUGUUAGAGAAGAUAAUGACGGUAUCUAACGAAUAAGCACCGGCUAACUCCGUGCCAGCAGCCGCGGUAAUACGGAGGGUGCAAGCGUUACUCGGAAUCACUGGGCGUAAAGAGCGCGUAGGCGGGAUAGCAAGUCAGAUGUGAAAUCCUAUGGCUUAACCAUAGAACUGCAUUUGAAACUGUUAUUCUAGAGUAUGGGAGAGGUAGGUGGAAUUCUUGGUGUAGGGGUAAAAUCCGUAGAGAUCAAGAGGAAUACUCAUUGCGAAGGCGACCUGCUAGAACAUAACUGACGCUGAUGCGCGAAAGCGUGGGGAGCAAACAGGAUUAGA